Ictalurus punctatus (channel catfish) is the source of this 2668-nucleotide long non-coding RNA. RefSeq lists it as uncharacterized. NCBI's taxonomy places the organism in Eukaryota, Metazoa, Chordata, Actinopteri, Siluriformes, Ictaluridae. The record is from RefSeq and is a predicted model, not a curated record. The transcript is spliced from 4 exons.
ACGUCUACAGGGAUCAAAAGGUGCAGGUUAUCUUUUGGUACCUCAAAUAGUGAAGGCUACAGCAGGGGGAAGAACUUUCUCUUACAAAACCCCACAGCCUUCCAAUUAGUGUUCGGACUCAGACACAGUCUCAGUGUUUAAGUUCAGGCUGAAAACACAUUUGUUUACUUAAACUUACCAUGAAUAGACUUUUUUUUUUUACUCAAAGUAUACAGUCUUAUCUAUUAUGGGAUAGUAAGCAUACCUAACAAUCUCUCCCUCUCUUUACCUCCCUCUCCCUCUCUCCUUCUGUGGAGCCGCACAUGAUAUUAUGGAGAUGCCAGUGAUCCUGACCCUUUCUGCUCUCCGGACCUGCCUGAUCCAUCCUGAUGCCCUAUCUCUGAUGAGGACUGGCGGCCCCAGCAAAUUCAGCCCAAGAGCAGAUUGUCUGAUGCAAAAAGAAGUCUCCAAGAACUCCAAAAUUUCAUCACAGAAUCUGCUAAUAAGCCUCACAGCUGUUGGUGUCAAAGUGCACGCUUCUACAAUCAGAAAGAGAUUGCACAAAUUUGACCUGCAUGGGAGGCGUGUCAGGAAAAAGCCUUUGCAACACUACAGUUUGCCAAUGAGCAUAUAGGCAAAGACCAGGCCUUUUGGAAUAAUGUGCUCUGGACAGACGAAUCAAAGAUACAGUUGUUUGGCCACGGUAACAGCAGACAUGUUUGGCGCAGACCAAAGACAGCUUUUUAGGAGAAGCCCCUCAUACCAACUGUGAAGCACGGUGGUGGAAAUGUUAUAGUUUGGGUUGCUUUGCUGCCUCUGGGAUUAGCAAAUCCUCCAAGGAAUGGCUCCAAAAGAAUAAAUGGAGGGUUAUGGACUGGCCUAGUCAAAGCCCGGAUUUGAAUCCCAUUGAAAUGUUGUGGGGAGAUUUGAAAUGGGCAGUACGUGCAAGAAAACCCUCUUGCAACUGAAAGAAUAUUGCAUUGAAGAGUGGUCAAAAAAUUCCAGCAAGCCGAUGUCAGAGACUGGUGGACAAUUAUGCAAAAUGCCGUAGUUAUUUCUGCUAAAGGGAACUGCUUCUGAUGUCAAGGGUGUACUUUUCUUAAGGUUAAUGAGCUGGGCCACACUCAAAUCUUCUUCUUGGCUACACAUGCUACUCAUAAGCACAUUUUGACACUUGAUUGCAGAGGUCAGAGAUGCACUGUGAAUUGUGGGACCUUAUAUACACAGUUGGGAGUUUCCUUUGUUGUAUGCUUUGGAUCGUUGUCCUGCUGGAAGGUCCACCCACGUCUCAUCUUCAUCAUCCUGGUGGAUGGCAGCAGAUUCUUCUCAAGAAUCAUCCAGUAAAGGGCUCCAUUCAUCGUUCCUUCAAUUAUAUGAAGUCUGCCAGUACCAUGCGAUGAAAAACAGCCCCACACCAUGAUGCCUCCACCUCCAAACUUCACUAUUGGUGUAGUGUGCAAUUUCUUCUCCAAACAUGACAGCCAAAAAGAGACUACACUCUCCCAGUAUUUCAUUGUCUUGUCCAAAUGAGUUGUAGCAAACUUUAAACGAGUUUCGACAUACCUUUUCUUUAGUAACAGAGUCUGCGGGGUGAGUGUGUGUUUAGAGGGCAUGGCGGUGGAGUGCAUUGCCUAUUGUUUUCUCUGUGACGAUGGUAUUUGCUGCCUCCAAGUGUUUCUGGAGCUCUUUCCUAGUGGUCAUUGGCUCUUGGGCUACUCUUCUGACUAUUCUUCUGACUCCCUGGUCAGAAAUCUUGCGAGGAGCUCCUGUGCGUGGCCGGUUGAUGACGGAGUGAUGUUUCUUCCACUUGCGGAUAAUGGCCCCAACGGUGUUUACUGGAAGAUUCAAAAGAUUUGAAAUACGUCUGUAUCCGAUUCCAUCAAUAUGUUUUUGCAACAAUAAGGGUGUGAAGGUCUUGGGAGAGCUCUUUGCUUUUGCUUUCUUGUGUGACACCUUGGUAACGAAAAGCCUUUUUUUAGACCAUCAAUUUACUAACCCAGCUGAUAUUAAUUUGCACAGAUAGGAGGUAUAAUUACUUACGGACUUUGGCUGGUUCCUUGCCUUAACUUGUCUUGGAGAACUGCUUUUUCUUAGCGUGUUCAAUACUUUUUCCUGAGUCAUCCCACUUUAUUACACAUAACUUUAUUUAUGGACUUUAAAGUUGUGAAUUAGUUAUAUUUCCAGAUUUCUUGAGUUAAUACUGAUGUCUGGUAGAAAUUUCCUGGGAAUAACCUCAUUGGAAAUGUAUAUACAGAAUUUUUUUUGACGCGUCUAAUAUUUAUUUCACUCACUGUAUACACAUACACACACAGACACAUACAGACACACACACAGCAACUUUACAAGAGACAUAGUAAUCCCAUGCGCAAGUCACUUUACAUGUUCCUACUGCUGUUAAGGACUGUUUACUUUUUCGAGAAUUUUACUGUGAAUCAAUUUGGGUUUCUGUAGUGUUCAGUGUAUUGUUUAUAGAAUAGUUUGUUUAGUGGACAGUCUAUUGUUUGCAAUUGUUGUAUUGAUUAUCUUUGCACUGUCUGUCUCUGUACUGAUCUUCUUAUCUUUGCAUGUUUAUGUUUUUUGUUUCAUUGUCUCAGUAUUGCACUGUGAUUCUGGGGGAACUAUAUUACUUUCCCAACAUUACAGUGGUCUGUCAUGAGAGGAAUGACAAUAAAGCCUACUUGAACUUGGA